GGAGAAGUACCCAAGAGGUCGAAGGGACUCCCCCGCUAAGGGAGCAGGCGUGUAAAAGCGCGCGAGGGUUCGAAUCCCUCCUUCUCCGCCA
Molecule: transfer RNA, 91 nt
Filed under: Oscillospiraceae bacterium
Lineage: Bacteria; Bacillati; Bacillota; Clostridia; Eubacteriales; Oscillospiraceae
Description: tRNA-Ser
Rfam family: tRNA
About the family: Transfer RNA (tRNA) molecules are approximately 80 nucleotides in length. Their secondary structure includes four short double-helical elements and three loops (D, anti-codon, and T loops).
Source: RNAcentral